CCUACGGGAGGCUGCAGUGGGGAAUAUUGCACAAUGGGGGAAACCCUGAUGCAGCGACGCCGCGUGAGUGAAGAAGUAAUUCGUUAUGUAAAGCUCUAUCAGCAGGGAAGAAAAUGACGGUACCUGAGUAAGAAGCCCCGGCUAACUACGUGCCAGCAGCCGCGGUCAUACGUAGGGGGCAAGCGUUAUCCGGAUUUACUGGGUGUAAAGGGAGCGUAGACGGCAGUGCAAGUCUGGAGUGAAAGGCGGGGGCUCAACCCCCGGACUGCUCUGGAAACUGUACGGCUGGAGUGCAGGAGAGGUAAGUGGAAUUCCUAGUGUAGCGGUGAAAUGCGUAGAUAUUAGGAGGAACACCAGUGGCGAAGGCGGCUUACUGGACUGUAACUGACGUUGAGGCUCGAAAGCGUGGGGAGCAAACAGGAUUAGAUACCCUAGUAGUC
RNAcentral lists this ribosomal RNA (440 nucleotides) under uncultured bacterium. RNAcentral's name for it is "partial 16S ribosomal RNA". It matches the Rfam family "Bacterial small subunit ribosomal RNA", at positions 338 to 795 of the family's 1533-position model. The record is from RNAcentral.